Molecule: long non-coding RNA, 853 nt
Organism: Atta colombica
Lineage: Eukaryota; Metazoa; Arthropoda; Insecta; Hymenoptera; Formicidae
Exons: 4
Source: RefSeq, a predicted model, not a curated record
AUCUAAUAAUCGGACAACGUCCAAAUCACGUUGAAAUUACCAGUUCUCGUCUGAUCACUGAAGUCAAGCAACGUUGAGCACGGAGACGCCAACAAUUAUAAACAAACUAAUAUUGAGCCAAUUUUAUGACUGUCAAUUGACGGCCAAUGUUCUGUCAAUCACUAUUGAAGUUUCACUGGCUAUCAAAUAACAGCCAAUGUUCUGUCAGCCAGUACUAAUUAUAAAAUUUUCUCUUAAUUUGAUGCAUGCAACAUGAACAGAUCUCACAAGUCACAAGAGUAAGAAAACUAUUCUUAAGAAAUGUAAUAAUCGGACAACGUCCAAAUCACGUUGAAACUACCAGUUCUCGUCUGAUCACUGAAGUCAAGCAACGUUGAGCACGGAGACGCCAACAAUAAUAAACUAACCAAUAUUUAUCGAAUUUUAUGACUGUCAAUUGACGGCCAAGGUUCUAUCAAUCCCUAUUCAAGUUUCAGUGGCUAUCAAAUAAUAGCCAAUGUUUUGUCAGCCAGUACUGGGCUAAAUAUAAAAUUUUCUCUGAAUUUGAAGCAUGCAACAUGAACCAAUCUCACAAGUCACAGGAGUAAGAAAAUCAUUCUUAAGAAAUGUGACAAUCGGACAACGUCCAAAUCACGUUGAAACUACCAGUUCUCGUCUGAUCACUGAAGUCAAGCAACGUUGAGCACGGAGACUCCAACAAUAAUAAACAAACCAAUAUUUAGCGAAUUUUAUGACUUUCAAUUGACGGCCAAGGUUCUGUCAAUCACUGUUGAAGUUUCACUGGCUAUCAAAUAACAGCCAAUGUUCUGUCAGCCAGUACUGGGUUAAAUAUAAAAUUUUCUCUGAAUGUGAA